AAACUUCACGUUUUGCAAGUGAAUUCAAUUCUGAUUGGAUUGCUUCUUGCCAUUUUGGCCAAUCAAGUCUUUGUCGACAAGUAAAUUCAAUUCUGAUUGGAUUGCUUCUUGCCAUUUUGGCCAAUCAAGUCUUUGUCGACAUUUUCCAACAGAUUGAGGUUCAAGAUCCUUACUUUCUUGUAUAAUGCUAGAUGCAACAUUAUAUGCAAAGACAUAAUCCACCACUAUAUCCACUCG
RNAcentral lists this long non-coding RNA (237 nucleotides) under Nicotiana benthamiana. RNAcentral's name for it is "long non-coding RNA (NBEN_LNC003973)". Lineage: Eukaryota; Viridiplantae; Streptophyta; Magnoliopsida; Solanales; Solanaceae. The record is from RNAcentral.